UUGGUGAUGCGGUGAAAACCUAGCCCAAUCCCCUCCCGUCCCAAAGCCCCAAUCGCCUCCCAGCCUCGAACCCCGCGUCGCCGCGACCUCCAUCCCCCCCGCGGUCCGCCUCAUCUCCUCUCCCUCUAAUCUCGUCGCGCCGCCGCCUUUUCCUCUCUCCAUCCCCGUCCCUGCCACGAGCCCCUCCCCUUCCCCGUCCCGACGGCCUCAUCCUCUGCUGCUCUCCUUGUUGGGUGUUGCUCCAGAUCGCGGGAGACGAUCUGCAGCCGGGUCUGCGCAGUUGAGGUGAGGAACGGAAGUGGGGGAAGGAGUAGCGAUGCUGGUGUCAGGGGACGGAGGUGAGGGAAGGAGCAGCAAGGGGCCACCUCAUGCCCCGUAGUCCGCUCCUCCUUGUCAGCGCCAUCGCAACUCCAGCAACGACAGUUCAUCUCCAUGGUCCUCCUCCUCCUGUUUCUUUCCUUCCACACUAAUCAGCUCAUUUUUCUUGUUCAUACCUGUAGCCUGUAGGCCAUACAUGCCCAUUUUUCUUCUCUGUACUUUUUCUUGUUUAUACCUGUAGAAAAAAUUGUGGCAGUGAUGAUUGAUCUAAGUUACCUCUGGAGAUGUAGGUAGUAGUCUUCUCUGCACUCUCAUGUUUCAUAAUUUACCCCCUUGGACACUCUCACCGAUGGUUCUAGAUGCUAUUUGCCUGAUGAAUUGGUUCGCAUAUAAUGUUUAACAAGAUGCAUCUUCUCCCCUGCUUUUUUUUGCUGCAGGACUUUAUUCCUUGCACUCUUGAGUCUUUUGAGAAGGAGAAAAUUAUUGUUGGGAGGCAAAAAGACUGAUGAUGAGUUCCUGAAACAGAGUGCAACAGUGAAGAACAAGAGGCCUUUUUUAUUGAUGAGUCGGUCGAAUAGACUGUAGAUGAUUGCCAAAAAGUGGUUAUCGAAGGAUUGGAGUCAAGCUUAGGAUCAGUCUAUCCUAUGGGCCUAUACUACAAUGUUUAUUUGGCUUGUUAGAAUACAUGUAGAAUGAGGUAUUUCUCUCGUUACUUAUUUUGCUAUAGAACCCUGUUGGUUGCAUUCUUGGGUGCUUCGGCAAGCAGCAAUUGCACAAGUUGAUUGUGGUUACUACUUUUGAUUAUAAUUUGCAAGCAGUCCUGUGAGGCCAUUGUGGCAUGUGCUUAGACUUCUAUUGAUGUGUAGUGCAUCAACCGACAUAGGAGAAAUCAGGUUCAUAGAUGGGUGCUUUAUGCUGGGGUGAAAGAGUUUUAGGCCGUUGAUUUCCCAAUGAAGGAGCUUCGAGACAAGCGCUGCAAUUAUGUAGUUUUGUAUAUGACAUAAUCUGUACGAACCCUCUCCUUGUUUCUUUUUGCUCUUGGUUUUGCCCCUGUUGAUUAAUGAUGCUACCAAUUAUUCUAGCUAUUUUCAUUGUACCAUGUGCCUAUGAGAUCUGCACAGACAGAAUUCGUGCUGAUUUAUUUAGUGGUGGCACAUAUGACAGCUACAACAGCCUGGUAAUUAGUCCUCAAAUAAGGUAGUUUCCCUCUUCCCUUUACAUAUCAUGGAUAUAUGUGGUGGUUCCUUGCCAUUGCUGAAGGGAGGACUCUAAAUGUAUUUUUGUGUUAUCCCUGAUUAUGUUAAUCAGGCCGUGUAUGUUCUGUUGGUCUAUUUUGAAUUUUCGUUUGUCAACUUUUACAGAAUUUCAAAGAUGUAAUUUUCUCUCAUGUAGUAGCCUCAUUUUUCAUAUAUAUACAAUAGUCUAUUUUCCUUUCUGCAAAUUAGACCAAUAGUCUAUUUUAGUCAACUUAAGGGUAUGUUGAAUAUGACAAUUAAUGAAGAUGGCCAUUCUUGCUGUCGAAAGUACAGAAUCUGACUCAUUUUAAAGUAGUACGUUCUCUUUAUGACAAGACUAAGCUUCUAAUUUAGCAAGUGUUUUACUUCAACACAAAUUGCUGCAGGAAAGAAAGCAUUUUUUUGCAACAAAGCAAGCAUUAAACGAGCUGAAGUGUCUGGAGCAGAAGAGCUUGAAUUUUUUGCAAACGUAAAUUUAAGGUAUUUAAAUGGUGGAGAUUUGUGAAAUCUGCAGACCAUUGUAUAUGUCUCAACGUAGGCCCAACCCAGUUUCCAUAUUUUAAAGGAGGCUGCACCACCAAUACCUCCGACAGAACAGCUAGCAGCGACCACAACAGUCCACAGAAGCAUCACUAGCUGUGACCCUCGAUAUACCUGAUGCCCUCUAUGCCUCUCCAUCCCUUUCGGCUGCUUGGUUGCGAGAAAGUACAUUCUCUGCCUUCAUUCACGUAUGUUGCUGACAAGGAUCGGAAAUCUCUGUUCCCCUCGAGGACUGAAAAUUGUCGAAACAGUCAAUUAUAUGGUGUUGAAUUAUUGAAUACUACCAAUUUAUUUGUUAAUGGCCAGUAGAAAAAGGAAGGCAACUUAUUUUUCAAAACUGAUGAGCAAUGAGUGCACUCUACAAGAUUUUCAUGGCAACAAACAUGAUAGACAUCUUGGAUCGGGCCCUUCUUAGACGACUCAUGAUAAGGUGCAUUAAUUAUGGAUGCCGUGCAAUCAGCAGCCUAAUACAAGGAGGACCCCAUGAAGCAAAGGGGAGAGGACAAUGAUAUGCUCACAUGGGAUCCCUUUCCUUCAGUGUAUUAAACGACAGGAUAAUGACUACCUGAUAGUGAUUCCUUAUGCCCACAUAUUUGACCUUAUGCUAAAAGCUUUAAAGUUGCCCCCUGCAACUUACCAUCACAAGAUAUGCUCAGGCGGCGAGAAUCAUGUGACAGUUACUUUCAUUUCUUCCUUGCAAUUACUAGAUGGUUUGCUUGUUCCAAGCUCAAUAUCGGGUGCAAUUUUAGAUGGCUAUGAAGAUGCAGAAGACAGUGCUGCUAUCGAAGCUAUUAGAUACAUGGAAAAUGCAUAUGGCAGAGAAAUGAGAGACUACCACUACACCCAUGUCAAGAGGCUAGAAAAUCAAGUGAAGCACCUGGUCACAUGGUUGGUUGGUUGCAGCGAAUGAGACAAUCAAGCUGCGCAAAGGAUGCUACCACGCUGUCCGGUAUAUGAGCUCAUAUUCUACCCAAAUACAAAACACAACGACUACUCGGCACCUGAGAGGACAUGAUAACACCAGGGGGGUUAUGAAAGCAGCACUUGCAAGCAUUGAAAAACGGACACAAAGGCUACGUUAUAUUGUUAUGAAGUCCGAGCAGCGCCUGGAGACCACAAGAAAUAGUGUCUGGUAAAUUCAAUCAAUGUGUCAUAACCAGCACGCUUCUGUGGUUACUAAAACAGCCACCUUUUAUUUCGUAUCGAUCAAACCAGCACCUUUCCCAUUUUGGAGUACUCUGAGCAAGAUAUGUAUAGCCUUUAGUCUUCCAUUGCUGCCUCUAUGGUGAAAAGUAGUGAAUGGUGCAGUCUAUAAACUUUAGAUUUCGUUAUCUCUGUGGUCAAGAGCAGUUUAUCAUCACUUAUUAUAUAUGUAUAGGAUUGCUAUUCUACUGUUAUUUCCAGAACACUAUAAUUAAAGAAACAACCUCUCCUUCUAUGCACACUUUCACUUCAAUGCUUUGAUUAAAGAUUUUCUGUAAUCAUGUCUUGUGAUCACAGUAUGUGCAAAGAAAAAUAAGAACAAUUACGUUGCUGCUUAUUUUGCAAGGGAUCUUCAACUAAAAGUAUCUAAAAAGGUCAAACUCCAUUCAAUUCUUUAUUUUCUUUUCAAGGAAAUACCUUUUCCAUAUAAAAGGAAAAAAGUUUUCGUGUCAAUGCAUACUUAUAAUAUUCACUUGCUGGAUUUCAUAAGCAUAUUUCUCUUUUUAAAAGGCAUGAAAAAAAUUUAGCUCAUACCCACAUAUCUAUUUGUUUACGCUAUACAAAAUAUACAGAGUAAAAAUUGAUGCAGUCUGAUUUUUUUAUGCACACUCUUUCAAUACUUGGCUUCCUAUCGCCCUUUGCGCCAUGGGCGCAACGAGUCAUCUAGUGAAGAAUAAAGCAUGAGAGACUGGAUAUCUCUGUUGUCAGUUUGGUUUACAUCUCCGGCCAUGUUGGUCAACUGAAAUACACUCCAGCCAUAAGCUUGCUACUCAGUUGAGAUUAUGAGCACUGUACUGAGCCUAAGAUAAAGAAGGAACCUUGAACAGAGUUUGCUUUCAAGAUAUCGGGAUAACAAAAAGCUCAAUCCACUUAGUAUAGCGGAGUAACACUCAAGGUUAUGUCAGCUACAGUAUUAGCAAACUAAAGUCUGAAUCAUCAAUGCCAAUUGAAGAUCACAUUUGUUCGCAUUCCAAAGUCAGAGUGCAUCAAAUCAGUAUAAAAAGAAUCCAAUGCAUCCUUGCAAAUCUCUAGUGCAUAAUCACAAGUGAAAAAGGACAAACUAUUUAGUAACACAAGGGUGGUGCAAACUCAAAUCUGAAUCAUUAUCAAUGGCAAUUGAAUCGAACUCAUCUCUACUUCUGGUCCUCUGCUGCCGCCCCUGAACUGCUGAUUCUGCUCUCUGUUGCUUCCCUCGGCUGCUGUACCUCUCCUUCUCCAAUGAACUGCUGCUCCUAAUCUUCUCUGAACCCAAACUGUUGCUGCUUCGCUUCCUCUCUAAACCUCAUAACAAAAUUUAGAAAGCUUAGAGUGCACCAUAGCAAAAAUGCAGGUCUCGACAUAGGGUAAUAAAAUUCUGAUCUUGGGAUCUUUAGAUGAAGUACCUGCGAUCAAUUCCAUGUGUGCAACACUCCAACUACUAAAAGAGUCAGGUUCGAAGCUAGGGCCUCUUGGUAAGAGCUGAGGGAUUCUACACCAACCAAACAACAAAGCACAAGAAGACCAUGAUGUAUCAAGUCCUAGAAAAUUGAGUAUUAGUUGCAUUUUUACUCAAAAACAUUUUCAACUACUAUUAGAUGCUCCAAUCUAUAUGUGCAUGUCUAAAAAUUCUAGGCUGCAAAACCAAAGAAAACGGGAAAGAUCAAGACACACAAUUGUUCCAUUGCAUGAGAAGGUAAGCUGAUCUUUACAACAUUCUAUAUAUCUUAUAUCUUUGUGAGACCCACGGACUCAGUGCAGAAAACUCUUCUAAUGGAUAUUUAUACUAUUGCUGCUAAUGUUGGUCCUUUCAGCCUCAAAUUACUGCUCCAGUUUAGACAGGAAGCCCCAUUGUUCAGUAUAGAUGGCAGUUUAUAUGUGUUUUUAAAAGCAAGAGCACCACCUCAUGCUAUGGAAACCUAAAGAGCAGACAAAAAAAAUGCCCAUUUACAUAAUCUAACAAACUUUAAGCUAGUAGUCAUGUGACCACAAGUUUAUUACUAUGGACAUUUGCAUUUGUCUACUUGUUGUAUAAUCAUAUAAUGGGCAAGCACAAGUUCCAGUAUAUAGGAUAGCAUACGUACACAUAAAUGUAGACCAAAUUUCAUCGGCUAGAAUUGUGAACCGAAUUAAUUAGAAGAAUACAAACGGACCAUAUCCCCACAGAAUAAGAGAUGGCCAACUGCUCACACGACAAAUAGAUAAACUUGUUCAGCAGCCUCCCCAGCGCUAGGCAACGACACCGGCAGCCUCCCCAACACUCUAUCACUGCACGAGCUGCCAUUACCCCUUGUCUAUAUCUCGAUCUUGAUCUGGAAAAAUAACAGUGAGAAAAGAAUUAUUUACCUGAUACAAAAAAUAUAAUUCUCUGGUGCAUUAAAAGAAACUAUUGUGGCAAUCAUUAAACAUGCAACAGGAGUUUAAUUAUAGGAACCGCAUAUAGUCAUGGGUAAAUCUCAAAGCAUCUUUGCUCGAUAUUCUCUUUAUAUGAUCUGCCAAAAUUAGGUGUGCCAUUAUGCUUGGCAAACUCAACAAUUCACUUGCUAUAGUUCCUUCGUACUAUAUUUGGCAACCUAAAAAUAAUGUGUAGGGGAGGGCAUAAGUGUAUGUCAAAGGAUCAUAACCCAAAGUAUGUUUAGUAAAUUACCACAAAAAAGCACAAACUUGAGUGUGCAAAAGAAUUGUUAGCAAUUGGGAUGGGCAUCGAUGAAGAACAUUUCUGAUCUACAAUUUGAUCACCGGUAAACUUGCUCUUUUUAGAAGAAAAAAAAUGGUCAGGAGAAAUCACAAAUUAGUUCCAGCUCCCUCCAUACUUCUUAUAUAAAUACAACCAAAAAGCAGUGAUAAAAACUUCCCCAACAUCAAUACUCUGAAAACAAAUAUGCCAAAGAUGGGUUUUACCUUCCCUGGAAGUUUAUAGUACUCCAAAGCUUCAGCCAACCGUUGUUAACGGAGGGGAAUGCAUAUAUAUGCAGGCAACCACAACCUGCUCUCGCGACCCGUCCUCUUGGACCUUGCCGCCCCGUCCCAGUGCCUCCAUCUAUCUGCAACACACACACACCUUGUUGCCCCGUCCCAGUGCCUCCAUCUAUCUACAACACACACCCAGCCUACGUUGCGCGGAUACUUCAAAAAGUGCGCGUAUCCAGCCGGAUACUGCCCCGAUACUCGGAUACUGCCCCGAUACUUUUCGAUACGUAUCCCGUAAGUAUCCCUCGAUAUUUUGAUAUUAAAAAAAGAAAAUAAUGUUUGAUACUCCUAGGAUACUUCUGCGAUGCGUUUUGGAUACUUGAACCCCUCGUUUGACGUGAAAUCCCCUCAAUAAUAAAGGCGCCUUUGAAGAUUCCCAACAUGGGCGUGAGUUUAUGUGAAAACAUGUCUGUCAAUAUUUUUUAUUCAAUUGAAAGGUGAGCAAGAAAGAGUCGAUGCAUUGAUUGAAACAGCAAACCUGGUCAAAUCUCACGGCCAAUUAAUAAAAGUGGACUAAGUGCAAGAAAAUAAAGGGGUAAUCUUAUUGAGGUAUGCUUUGACCUAGAAGCUCCUUAAAUUUUUUUCUUCAUAUUUAUAAUAAUUAAUAUUUAACAUCUAUAUAUAAACGUAUCCCCGUAUCCAUGUUUUUAGAGAAUUGACGUAUCGGGCGUAUCCCCGUAUCGCGUAUCCAAUACGUAUCCAAGUAUCCGUGUAACGUAGCACCCAGCCGACUUCACCCAGGCCUACCCCUGUCUGCGAUGGGCCUGUGCCUCCAGCGUCCGCCGUGGCCUGUAGCUCGUCCGUCGUGCGCUAAAACCUGAAUCCAGGUUGUACGUUGUCCCAAUCCAAUCUCUCCUUUUUCCUUUCUCAUCAUCCGAUCUUUUUUCCUCGAGGUGUGUCAUUGUAGACGCAGACUUUUUUCAGUUCUAUUUAAUCGGCCAUAGGCGCAACUCUUUGUCACCCGAGUUGUGUAGUCUCUCCUUUAAUUCCUUCCUGCAUAUAUUUAUGUCAAUGUGCUUACGUCCGUUCUCUCAUCAAAUGCCCGUGUGUUGCAACGGGAGAGCACCGGUUCCUAUGAAGCACGGUUGGUCGAGUUGAGAAACUGUGUCAUAGGACAAAAAAAGCAAAUAAACUAUCCUUCCACUACACAAUGAUAAAAGAAAAUAACUUACUGUGCAAAUGGCUCAAGUCAGUUAAUUAGGAACUUCUUCAUAUUAACCAACUCUUCACGUGCAGCAACAGCCAUCAUCUCAAAUAUGCUGAGGCUUGUCUAUAAAGGCAAGAACAAAAUCAAGUUUAGGAACAUCAAAAAUUAAUUAGAAUGAGAGCAGUACGUUGAUGGCAUGUGGCAAGCACAAAAUAUUCAGUCUCAUUCUUGUAGGGAACAAUCAAAUGCAGCACUGUGGCCACCUUUAUGACUAACUUUUGUGGGAUUAAAAGAGCUACAUCUGUAGACAUUCAACAGUUAUUGGCUUCAUUCUUACCCUAAUUCUUAGGACAUAUUUGUGUUUACAACAACAUUCAGGUCAGGUAACAAAGACUAACUCCCAUGGUUACAUGCUUGAGGUGAUGCUAUCAUUCUGUCAGUAUAAUAGUAGAAAUCCUCAUAUCCUCUUGCAAUCUGUAUGUACAUGUUUAUGUUUUUUCUACCAAGAGAAAACUAUUAUGGACAUGAAACAUAAUCAAAUCAGGUUGAUUUCUAUUUACAUAAAGAAUCCCAUUUAUAUGGUCUAUCUGUACAAUUAUAUGGCUAAUGGUUAGAACGAAUGAAUUUAUUUUGGGGAACAAGAGAACGGAUGAUUUGAAGUGUAUGUGCUCCACCACUAUGGUGAGGAUACACAUAUUGCUUAUUGUGCAGGAUAAUAGAAACAUGCAGAACGUCUUGCCUCAGAUUUGCAGGAGUACUACUGGACCAGAUCUUAUCAGUUCAAGGAACAAAUUGGAGUGGUGCGCAAUAAUACUUUUCUUAAAGAACUUACUUUGCAUGUAAACUAAUCUCUAACACAAACACAUCUUCAGAGCCACCCAAUAGCUCAGCCAACUUCGAUCUAGACCCCAACUGUAUCAUACAGGAAAACAAAGUUGACUAAACCACACAAGAAGAAAGGAUUCCAAUAUGAUGAAUCCGGUGAUGGAGCACCUUUUGGUCCCUGCAGCAAAGUUGGAUGCCACGAGGGAGAGGAUAUGCCGAGCGUCAGGUGGCUAGCAUGACAAUGUUCCCAAUAUUUUUUCCUGGACACUAAAAAACUAAAAACAGUUGGAUUCAAGGGCAAGCCUACACGAUCCUUUAAUUCUCCACAAAACAAAAAAAUGUAAACAUAAAAAAACCAUACAACUUUACAUGUUUUGCCUUUUUUUUCUCAAGAUGGAAAAUCAUAAUACAGAAGGAGAUAGGCCAAAAGAUUGACUAAAUGAAUAACAGAGCAGCUCCUCUCUGUUUUUCCUGAACCACUACACUUUUUUUCCUGGACCUCUGCAAGUGACAACAGCAAGCGUCUGGAUUCUCCACUGCUACCGAUGCAACUUGCAGUACAAUUUUGCAUAUUUAUGCAGGUUUAUAUGAGGCACCAAGCCAUGACCUGAGUCGUGUGCUGGCCAUGAUCUCAAGAUGUGCACACGACAGUAAGUAUUCUAGCAACAUCGAUUACUUGAAGACAGAGUAUACAUUGACAGAACUUACAAUAUUACUUGAAGACAGUGGACACUGACAGAAUUUCAUCCUCCAGCUGCGGAGCUUGGCAGGGGCGGCGGCGCUGUGAGGUGCAGCCCAUGGGGAAGGUGAGGGGCGGCCGGAUCCGCGGGUGCUGGCAACGGACGACGGCAUGGUCGGGCGCUCGGUGAGGCAGAGGCGCGGGGGCACAACUGCGUAGGGAGGCUGCCGGUAGGUUCGAUUUGGAAAUCGAGGAGAGGACUGGGUGGAUGGAUUUUUGGAUCUGGGGGAUCCUGAUGGGAGGAGGGUAGGCGGUGGUGGCGCUCGGCGGCGGGGUGUGUCCGGCGGCGCGCGGUGAGGGCAGGGUAGGAGGUGGUGUUGCGCUGCCGGUGGAGAUGUGAUUGGGAAGCCGGGACGUGCGUGGCUGGGCAAUUCUUUUUCUCUCCCGUACCGGUUCGGCUGACUUACCAUGAAGACUGCGGGUGGAAUACCUAAACGGCAAAUUUGAUAAUUUGCCACCCCUUACCUCCCCCUUUCAUAAUUUGCCCUCCCCUUGAGAAUGACAGGUGGGGUUCGGGCCCGCCUGUCAUUGAGAUAAUGGGUGACAAAUUAUGAAAAAAGGAAGUAAGGGGUGGCAAAUUAUCAAAUCGCUCUACCUAAACGGAGAGGACUUUACGAACAUGCUAUUAGUACCACCUUGUUUAUAUUACGAUUUUGUUUAUAUACGAAUCGUAAAAGCGUAUUAUGACAUGAGAAGAAAGUGUAUUGUGACGGUGAACUCGACAAAGUCAAUCCGUGCUUUAUUAGUCAAAAAAAUUCGUGCUUUAUUAUUAGGGAGAGACUAGCACAAAUGUCCGUGCAUUGCAACCGGCGUAGACUCACAAAAUCAUAUCCAUGUGCUAUUAUGCACAUAGCAAAAGUGCCCGUGCGUUGCAACAAUACAAAAUAACUAACAAUCUAUCCCUAAUAAUAAAGCAUGGAUUGACUCCGUGGGUUCACCGUCACAAUACGCUUUCUUCUCAUGUCAUAAUAUGCUUUUAUAAUUUCUAUGGACAAAAUAGUAAUAUAAAUAAGGUGGUACUAAUCUACCGUCCGACGCCCGUCUCAAAGUCCAAACAUAACUCCUCCUUCCCCCGCCGUCUUUUAUGCCAACGCAUCCUACCCUCCUCUUGAAACAGGCCCGCACGAAUCCUUCCUCCCUCGCAUGUCCGUCGCCGCCGCCGCCAGCACCGGCCACCUAGCCCCAGGCGCGGGACAGAUCUAGGAAUCAGGAGGGGAUGGACGGAGUAUGGCGAACAGGCCGACGGGGAUGUGCUCUCUCCUCCCGCUACCAAGGCCCGUGGGCGGGGCGCCCGACCUCUAGACGACGGUGGCGAUAACCAAGGACGGAUGUGCAUCCUGGCAUGUCAACUCAAGAUGAUCAAGUGAGGUCUGCAUAGGGUGGUGGCUGGCGGGUUGGACGCGCAGAACUUCGGCGGCGGCCGGAUCCAGCAGCUGCUAAUCUCAUGUGGAGGACGCGCAGGGGCGGGCGGUGAGCGAAUUGAAUCUGGGAAUUCACCCAGGGAAGCAACAUAUAAUCUUUUGAUCUUUGUCUUGCCUCCAGUGCAAGUUCAGUUUGUCCAGCAGUGCUCUUGACAAAUUUCUAGAAUGAAGAAUGAAAUACUUGGAGAUAGGCUACCAAUUCGGCAAGAAUAUAUAUGUCAUGGAUCUGUUUAUAACUAUUUUACUGUGCUUAGAUUUGGUCGGCAGGUUUUAGGUUGUACUGCAGCCUAAAUGUGAUCCUGCUUGUUGUUGCUAUGCAUUUUAUAUUUCCAGAUAUACUAUAAUUUCCCCGUUUUUAACCAGUUUGGGGCGUAUAAGAAGAGAAAGUGAAUAACUGAAUGCAAUGGCAGGUGUUGAACUGAGGUUUACACAUUGGUGCACAUGAUGUGUCAAUCAAACAUACUAUAGCCCUCAUAUAAUGGCUGUUGUUGUUUGCAAAGUAAGAAGUGAAUGAUGCAAAGAGAUUUAUGCUGUAGAAGAACUUCCAAGGUAGUCUCCGAAGCCCUUCCAUUGGAAUUUGACAAAAUUCCCAACCACAUAGGUUACACACAAUUUAAGCCUCCAUGGUACUAAAAAUGCCAUGUCUGUUGGUCCUUUGUUUAGAAAUGUUUUAGUCACAUAUUCUUAUGUAAUUACGGUAUGACAAAAAUAGCACUUCAGGCCCUUAUUAACCGUGUUUCUCCUUUGUUUUGGUCUUCUCUUAAUUUGUUUGUUUGCUUAAGGAUACCCCUAAUUUUCUAAAAAAAUGCAUGUGAGUAAAGAUUACAGUGGCUCAAAUAGCAUGUAGAUUUAAUAAACCGAAUAAUUGAUUGUUGGUGUUGUUUCUAGCGUAUCACAUAUAGUAGCAGAGACUCAGCAUGGGGGUCUGCCGCUUGAAGAGAUGCAAAUGUUGCAACUUCACCAGAGGUUCUAUGUUGGAGUUCUGUGUGUCGGUGGUUCAAGGUUCUUUCCCUUAUUCUAUUUUUCUCUCUGCAGUUUUUGUGUAAUGUAUGAUUUAUUCGUUCUAAAAGUUGUAUG
Molecule: long non-coding RNA, 11451 nt
Organism: Triticum aestivum (bread wheat)
Lineage: Eukaryota; Viridiplantae; Streptophyta; Magnoliopsida; Poales; Poaceae
Exons: 7
Source: RefSeq, a predicted model, not a curated record